This 484-nucleotide ribosomal RNA is filed under the name uncultured bacterium. Its description in RNAcentral is "partial 16S ribosomal RNA". It matches the Rfam family "Bacterial small subunit ribosomal RNA", at positions 30 to 507 of the family's 1533-position model. The record is from RNAcentral.
AUUGAACGCUGGCGGCAGGCCUAACACAUGCAAGUCGAGCGGAUGAAGGGAGCUUGCUCCUGGAUUCAGCGGCGGACGGGUGAGUAAUGCCUAGGAAUCUGCCUGGUAGUGGGGGAUAACGUCCGGAAACGGGCGCUAAUACCGCAUACGUCCUGAGGGAGAAAGUGGGGGAUCUUCGGACCUCACGCUAUCAGAUGAGCCUAGGUCGGAUUAGCUAGUUGGUGGGGUAAAGGCCUACCAAGGCGACGAUCCGUAACUGGUCUGAGAGGAUGAUCAGUCACACUGGAACUGAGACACGGUCCAGACUCCUACGGGAGGCAGCAGUGGGGAAUAUUGGACAAUGGGCGAAAGCCUGAUCCAGCAAUGCCGCGUGUGUGAAGAAGGUCUUCGGAUUGUAAAGCACUUUAAGUUGGGAGGAAGGGCAGUAAGUUGAUACCUUGCUGUUUUGACGUUACCAACAGAAUAAGCACCGGCUAACUUCGUG